This is a non-coding RNA of Earliella scabrosa, 99 nucleotides long. Lineage: Eukaryota; Fungi; Basidiomycota; Agaricomycetes; Polyporales; Polyporaceae. The record is from the annotation of a GenBank genome assembly.
GGCCCAAUGGUCUAGUAGUAUGAUUCGCGCUUCGGGUGUUCUCCCGGUGCAUUGCAUCUAAAAUGCGCGAGGUCCCGGGUUCAAUUCCCGGUUGGGCCC